This is a long non-coding RNA of Mesocricetus auratus (golden hamster), 424 nucleotides long. RefSeq lists it as uncharacterized. The record is from RefSeq and is a predicted model, not a curated record. Lineage: Eukaryota; Metazoa; Chordata; Mammalia; Rodentia; Cricetidae. The transcript is spliced from 2 exons.
GGCUGGCCUCCGAUUAAAGGCAUGCGCCACCAACGCCCGGCCACGGAAAUCCAGUUACACCUGACCGCGAAGACGGGCUGAUUGCUGACUGCUCAGGGAAAGAAGCUCGCCUUGUGACUCCUCCAUCGAGUGCAAAGUGGGCUGUAGCCGAAGCUUUCCUGAUCCAAAUGGCACCAACACCACGAACUCUGUCUUCCAGAAUUCAUAGCUCCUCCCACUCCCCCUCGAGGUUCCCCUAAACCCGAGCGCACAGGGAAGAGGGCUGCGAGAACGCUACUGGGUGUGCGUCUGACACCAGGGCCCCCGGGCUUCCUGUACCAGAGGACCUGCAGGGUGGGGGUGAGGGAGAGCGCGUUCCAGAGAGGACUGGAACCGUCGCCCUGCCCCCUACACUUCACCCCAGUAAAAGAGGGCUGUAAAAUUC